AGUCCAUGAUGUAGACAAAGUCUCAUCAAUACUUGUACCUUUCCCAUUCUUCAAAAAGUGACUCUUCAUCUUUAUGGUUGAAUCCGUUAAUUUGGCUUCUUAGCAU
This is a small nucleolar RNA of Lathyrus oleraceus (garden pea), 106 nucleotides long. The record is from RefSeq and is a predicted model, not a curated record. Lineage: Eukaryota; Viridiplantae; Streptophyta; Magnoliopsida; Fabales; Fabaceae.